RNAcentral lists this ribosomal RNA (492 nucleotides) under uncultured bacterium. Its description in RNAcentral is "bacterial SSU rRNA". It matches the Rfam family "Bacterial small subunit ribosomal RNA", at positions 52 to 518 of the family's 1533-position model. The record is from RNAcentral.
UACAUGCAAGUCGAACGGUCUUUCUAUGGAAGCUUGCUUCCACUGAGAAGAUAGUGGCGAACGGGUGAGUAACACGUGGGUAACCUGCCCAUAAGAGGGGGAUAACAUCCGGAAACGGGUGCUAAUACCGCAUAGUUUUCUUGAUCGCAUGAUUGAGAAAGGAAAGACGGCCUUUGUGCUGUCGCUUAUGGAUGGGCCCGCGGCGUAUUAGUUAGUUGGUGAGGUAACGGCUCACCAAGACGAUGAUACGUAGCCGACCUGAGAGGUGAUCGGCCACAUUGGGACUGAGACACGGCCCAAACUCCUACGGGAGGCAGCAGUAGGGAAUCUUCCGCAAUGGACGAAAGUCUGACGGAGCAACGCCGCGUGAGUGAAAGAAGGUUUUCGGAUCGUAAAACUCUGUUGUCAGAGAAGAACAAGUUGGAGAGUAACUGCUCCAGCCUUGACGGUAUCUGACCAGAAAGCCACGGCUAACUACGUGCCAGCCGCCGC